UCCGUAGGCGGGAUGAUAAGUCAGUGGUGAAAGCCCACAGCUCAACUGUGGAACUGCCAUUGAAACUGUCAUUCUUGAAUCUAGUUGAAGUGAACGGAAUGUAACAUGUAGCGGUGAAAUGCAUAGAUAUGUUACAGAACACCAAUUGCGAAGGCAGUUCACUAAGCUAGUAUUGACGCUGAGGGACGAAAGCGUGGGUAGCGAACAGGAUUAGAUACCCUGGUAGUCC
RNAcentral lists this ribosomal RNA (229 nucleotides) under uncultured bacterium. RNAcentral describes it as "partial 16S ribosomal RNA". It matches the Rfam family "Bacterial small subunit ribosomal RNA", at positions 568 to 796 of the family's 1533-position model. The record is from RNAcentral.